Molecule: ribosomal RNA, 253 nt
Filed under: uncultured bacterium
Lineage: Bacteria
Description: partial 16S ribosomal RNA
Rfam family: Bacterial small subunit ribosomal RNA
Source: RNAcentral
UACGAAGGGGGCUAGCGUUGCUCGGAAUUACUGGGCGUAAAGGGCGCGUAGGCGGCCUGGCAAGUGGAAGGUGAAAUCCCUCGGCUUAACCGAGGAACUGCCCUCCAAACUGCUUGGCUUGAGUCCGGGAGAGGUGAGUGGAAUUCCCAGUGUAGCGGUGAAAUGCGUAGAUAUUGGGAGGAACACCAGUGGCGAAGGCGGCUCACUGGACCGGAACUGACGCUGAGGCGCGAAAGCGUGGGGAGCAAACGGG